GCCUUGUAUCCGCGUCUCCGCAGGGAAAACUGCGGCUGGCGGUGCGGGAAGUGCUAUUAGUAGUUGUUUAUUUGUUUGUUUGCAGAAAUAAUUGCUUGGGUACGAAGGUCAAACGAGAAUGAAGCAAGUAUAUUAUCUAGUUUGUAUGUCUUUAAAUAGUUUCUCCUCCACACGUCUAAACAUACGCACCUGCUAGUAGGUGCGCAAAUGUUAAAACCUCUUUGGGAAAGCAAUGUGGCAAAAUCUAGUAAAAGUUUUCAAUUACUAAACCCCAGCACUCUGCUCCUACCUAUAUGUCUUGUAGAAACUUUGGUAAGUGAACAAGGAUGUACGUAACAGCGCUGUGGGUAGAAGCAAAAAAUUAGAAACGUCCAUCAAUAACAGAAUAAAUACCUUAUGGGAUGUUAGGAUGUAGUAUUAUACGCCAAUAAAAGAAGACUGAACUCAGAAAUGUGAUGAGGCAAAAAGAGAAAGAUGUAGAAAAAUAAAUAGUAUGACAAUUCAUAUACAUUCAACUCUAAAACUUGUAAAACAAUGCUAUAUAUUGCUUAGUUAUGCAUACAUAUGUAGUUAAAGAAGUCAAGAAAUACAAGAGAAUGAAAAUCAAGUUGAGAAAAGCAGUCAUAUCUGAGGCUUCCUAAGAGAAGUGAUGCCCAAGACAUUAAAACAUGAAUGGGCGUUAGAUGAAGACAAAAGAGCAUUCCAUCGUAGAAGACAAUGUAGCAUGUGACGGUAAAGAUUUCCCAAGACCAAAAAGCUUAGGAGCACUGCCCCAUUCCACUGUUCUGCUGCUGGUUUUGCUUUG
RNAcentral lists this long non-coding RNA (805 nucleotides) under Homo sapiens (human). Its description in RNAcentral is "non-protein coding lnc-USP12-9:6". Lineage: Eukaryota; Metazoa; Chordata; Mammalia; Primates; Hominidae. The record is from RNAcentral.